GAUGAAGAACGCAGCGAAAUGCGAUAAGUAAUGUGAAUUGCAGAAUUCAGUGAAUCAUCGAAUCUUUGAACGCACAUUGCGCCCCUUGGUAUUCCAAGGGGCAUGCCUGUUCGAGCGUCAUUACACCACUCAAGCUAUGCUUGGUAUUGGGCGUCGUCCUUAGUUGGGCGCGCCUUAAAGACCUCGGCGAGGCCACUCCGGCUUUAGGCGUAGUAGAAUUUAUUCGAACGUCUGUCAAAGGAGAGGAACUCUGCCGACUGAAACCUUUAUUUUUCUAGGUUGACCUCGGAUCAGGUAGGGAUACCCGCUGAACUUAAGCAUAUCAAUAAGCGGAGGA
RNAcentral lists this unclassified non-coding RNA (337 nucleotides) under soil metagenome. RNAcentral's name for it is "partial contains 5.8S ribosomal RNA, internal transcribed spacer 2, and large subunit ribosomal RNA". The stretch from base 1 to 120 matches the Rfam family "5.8S ribosomal RNA", at positions 35 to 154 of the family's 154-position model. The record is from RNAcentral.